Molecule: long non-coding RNA, 1194 nt
Organism: Electrophorus electricus (electric eel)
Lineage: Eukaryota; Metazoa; Chordata; Actinopteri; Gymnotiformes; Gymnotidae
Source: RefSeq, a predicted model, not a curated record
AAACCAAGGGCUCUUUAAACCAAGGGCUGAAGCGCACAAUGGUUGGACCCUUUCCUGGUAUAUAGAUCUCCCCCCAGAACACUAUUACUAACCCUCUAAACCAUAUGCAGUGAACUGUGUCAAUGUAUGUAACAUCUUGGCUUGAAGCACUGUUAUAUAACUGGGCUGGGGCAAAAAUAACAGACUGUAAUCAGGCCCAGGUGGCAUCGCUCCACAACGUUUUACUGCUGAAGAGGCGUCUUUUGCUUAUUGCAUUUCACCCUUUAACAACCUCCUCUGUUUUGCGCAUGGGACUACAUGGAGCAAGUGGGUGUGGCUCCCCAGGGUUCUCGUCUUCUGCAGCAAAUCAGGCAGUAGCCCCCCCCCCCGCCAUCCUGCCGAGGGCGGCAGCUUUCGCCCCGAUGUUUUUUCGCCCCAAAACAUCUGAGAAACUUUGCGAAACAUCGAAGAAGUACUGGAGAAACAUCAAAGCACUGGAGAAGCAUCGGCGAAUGCUAUGGAGCAGUUGUGUAAAAGUGUGUACAGCUGUGGCGAACACGCCGUUAAAGGAGUGUCUCCACCCUUGGCACUCCAGUAACGGUGAUGAAAGUGAUACUUUUUGAGGUUCUUUUGAAUGCCAGAACUACUGGCACUACAGCAGAAAAAAAAUUCUUUUUAAUGCACGCUCCAAGAAAAGAGUGAAAGAGGACAUCCCGUGAUGCGUCCUGAACUUGGCCUGUCUCCGCGUGUCCCUCAAGGCUGCGGAAAGGGAUGAAUUUUAUGUAAAGUGGGCAAAGCUUCUUAUGUCCCUUCCCAGAACCUGGACACUAUCCAUCCGCCUGCUCGCUGGGUCGGGUUCAUUCCAAGAUUUACUCCCUCGCACUCUAAUCCUACCCGCAAGCUGUCAAACAGUGGAUGAAGGGAGACUGAUCUCAGGUCAGACGCGCAAGGGCAAAUGAGUGCGCACUCAGACAAAGGUAAUCCUGCCAGGAGAACGCGGAGGAGCUUCUCAGCCACGUCACCCGGAGAUCACGAGCACCUUCAGCUUCAGCUGGUAUGCAGGAAUAGGACGAGAGGGAAUAGGGAACAGAGAGUGGAUAUGGAAUGACAAACACUAAAACAUGAUACUAAAACUGCGACGGCCAUGGUUGUCUAGCUGGCUGUGUAUUCAAAUAGCCUGUUGUUAAUGUUAAUAAACAGCUUUGUAAACAAUGA